CCUUACCUAAGCUUGACAUCCCAAUGACAUCUCCUUAAUCGGAGAGUUCCCUUCGGGGACAUUGGUGACAGGUGGUGCAUGGUUGUCGUCAGCUCGUGUCGUGGGAUGUUGGGUUAAGUCCCGCAACGAGCGCAACCCUUGUCUUUAGUUGCCAUCAUUAAGUUGGGCACUCUAGAGAGACUGCCAGGGAUAACCUGGAGGAAGGUGGGGAGGACGUCAAAUCAUCAUGCCCCUUAUGCUUAGGGCUACACACGUGCUACAAUGGGUAGUACAGAGGGUUGCCAAGCCGUAAGGUGGAGCUAAUCCCUUAAAGCUACUCUCAGUUCGGAUUGUAGGCUG
Molecule: ribosomal RNA, 339 nt
Filed under: Clostridioides difficile
Lineage: Bacteria; Bacillati; Bacillota; Clostridia; Peptostreptococcales; Peptostreptococcaceae
Description: bacterial SSU rRNA
Rfam family: Bacterial small subunit ribosomal RNA
Source: RNAcentral